This 469-nucleotide ribosomal RNA is filed under the name uncultured bacterium. Its description in RNAcentral is "bacterial SSU rRNA". It matches the Rfam family "Bacterial small subunit ribosomal RNA", at positions 33 to 518 of the family's 1533-position model. The record is from RNAcentral.
ACGCUGGCGGCGUGCCUAACACAUGCAAGUCGAACGGACGAGGGGAGCUUGCUCCCCAAGUUAGUGGCGGACGGGUGAGUAACACGUGAGCAACCUGCCCUUCGGAGGGGACAACAGCGGGAAACUGCUGCUAAUACCGCAUAAUGUAUCCUGGAGGCAUCUCCGGGAUACCAAAGAUUUUAUCGCCGAAGGAUGGGCUCGCGUCUGAUUAGAUAGUUGGUGGGGCAACGGCCCACCAAGUCUGCGAUCAGUAGCCGGACUGAGAGGUUGAACGGCCACAUUGGGACUGAGAUACGGCCCAGACUCCUACGGGAGGCAGCAGUGGGGAAUAUUGGGCAAUGGGGGCCAACCCUGACCCAGCAACGCCGCGUGGAGGAAGAAGGCUUUCGGGUUGUAAACUCCUUUGACGAGGGACGAUGAUGACGGUACCUCGAAAACAAGCCACGGCUAACUACGUGCCAGCAGCCGC